UACAGAGGGUGCAAGCGUUGUUCGGAAUUAUUGGGCGUAAAGCGCGUGUAGGCGGCUUUGCAAGUCGGGUGUGAAAGCCCUCAGCUUAACUGAGGAAGUGCGCCCGAAACUGCUAAGCUUGAGUACCGGAGAGGAUGGCGGAAUUCCCGAAGUAGAGGUGAAAUUCGUAGAUAUCGGGAGGAACACCGGUGGCGAAGGCGGCCAUCUGGACGGAUACUGACGCUGAGACGCGAAAGCGUGGGUAGCAAACAGG
RNAcentral lists this ribosomal RNA (253 nucleotides) under uncultured bacterium. RNAcentral describes it as "partial 16S ribosomal RNA". It matches the Rfam family "Bacterial small subunit ribosomal RNA", at positions 524 to 776 of the family's 1533-position model. The record is from RNAcentral.